RNAcentral lists this non-coding RNA (30 nucleotides) under Mus musculus (house mouse). Lineage: Eukaryota; Metazoa; Chordata; Mammalia; Rodentia; Muridae. The record is from RNAcentral.
UGCAUUCCAUUAAGAUGGAAUUUAGUCCUA